This 342-nucleotide long non-coding RNA is filed under the name Urocitellus parryii (Arctic ground squirrel). Its description in RNAcentral is "lncRNA (ENSUPAG00010018281.1)". The record is from RNAcentral. Lineage: Eukaryota; Metazoa; Chordata; Mammalia; Rodentia; Sciuridae.
CGCACGGCCAGGCCCGCCCCGCGGGGGAGGGGGCCGCCGCGCCCCGGAGGGCCACAGGGAAAAGUUGGGGGACCUCCGGGGAGGGGCCAGCCCGGACCGAGACCCCUUGGGAGUCUGGUCCAACCGCAGAGGAUCAGAUGCCCGCAGUCCCUCCACGGGCUGCAAAGAAGGAGGGGCUGCUGCUUUACAGAGUGGUAGAGAUGAGGCUUCACAAAUGGAGCACUUCCUGCCAACCCAGGACAAGAAGAUCUGCAUUGAAGCCUGCUGGAGGUCCGGGGAGGUAAGUGGGCUCUGCCCCAGAACCAUACAGGCCUAGGUUUGGCACCCAGCCUGCCRUGUACU